This 421-nucleotide ribosomal RNA is filed under the name uncultured archaeon. Its description in RNAcentral is "partial 16S ribosomal RNA". It matches the Rfam family "Archaeal small subunit ribosomal RNA", at positions 323 to 746 of the family's 1478-position model. The record is from RNAcentral.
CUACGAGUGGCUCCAGUUAGGAAUAAUCUACAACGCGCGCAAGCGUGAUAGUUUGAACCAGAGUGUGUUCCAAUUGGAAUACUUUUGCCAAGUGUAAAAAGCUUGGCGAAUAAGGACUGGGUAAGACGAGUGCCAGCCGCCGCGGUAAUACUCGCGGUCCAAGUCGCAGCCAUUUUUAUUGGGUCUAAAACAUCCGUAGCUUGUUCAGUAAGUUUCCUGUGAAAUCUUAUAUCUUAAAUAUAAGGCGAGCAAGAAAUACUACUUAACUAGAGACUGGGAGACGUAGGAAGUAUGUUCAAAGUAGUGGUGAAAUAUGUUAAUCUUGAACAGACUCACAACAGCGAAGGCAUCCUACGAGAACAGUUCUGACAGUAAGGGAUGAAGGCUAGGGGCGCAAAACGGAUUAGAUACCCGGGUAGUC